Molecule: long non-coding RNA, 522 nt
Organism: Nerophis lumbriciformis (worm pipefish)
Lineage: Eukaryota; Metazoa; Chordata; Actinopteri; Syngnathiformes; Syngnathidae
Source: RefSeq, a predicted model, not a curated record
CCACCCACAUUCGCCUAUUAGCGCUAUACAGCGUUAGCAUGUUAACUGAUUUACUCAAACCCUCACGUUAACUGGCAGGCGUGCUUAAAGCAAGAUUCAUAAGCUUGGACCAUGGUGCGCCUUUUAAUGGACCUCAAUCUGCAGGCCAGAGUUCAUUAAGCCGCAUCACUUUGCACCACAUCAUCAUUUGACUGGAGCCUAAUAAGUGACAGCCCUGAGGCGCUGCUGAGGAGGCUGCAGAAGGGCUUGUAAUCACCAUUCACCUAUCCAUCAUCUCUAUUGGCUGUGCUUUGCUGUCAGGGAAGAGAAGCCAUCUGAGGUGCUAUAAGUUAAUAGGUGGACUCACCUUGGGAGAGAAGACUAUCAGAGGUGCCUCUCUGACUCGGCCAAGCAGCAUUCUCCAGCUUCCCUGAGCUUUGGGCCAACCUUCAGGGUGUUGAAUGUCACCAUCUGUUGACGACCUGCCGACUUCACGUCGCUACAGGAAGUGAAAGAGGGGGGUUGGUUGACGCCAAGCCCGUG